ACAGGUAUGAAAUAUACUAAUUUACGUUACCGUUAUCAUGCGAGUCCGCACACAUGCGGGUACAAAGAUCGUGAUUUUUCGUUUUACAAAUACUAUUCCGCGGUCGCCCGUGCGCUCCCGUUGCUACGAAUACCCACUGACAACUACCGGUUGCUGAUGUCAAGACAAUAGAUUUUACCUAUACGAAAUAUAAUUACAACAUUCGUACGAGUCCGCACACAUGUGGGUAUAAAAGACGAUCACGACCCAUAUCUUUCACUGGAACGUAAGUUCGUGAAUAUAGACAUCGACUCGACAAACAUGUUCACCGUCAAAGUACAAAUAAUAACUCCAUCACGGUACGUUAAUAUAACGCCAGAUAUUCUAACG
Cinara cedri is the source of this 369-nucleotide non-coding RNA. NCBI's taxonomy places the organism in Eukaryota, Metazoa, Arthropoda, Insecta, Hemiptera, Aphididae. The record is from the annotation of a GenBank genome assembly.